AGCAGCCGCGGUAAUUCCAGCUCCAAUAGCGUAUAUUAAAGUUGUUGCAGUUAAAAAGCUCGUAGUUGAAUUUCGGGAUCAAUGCUUCGGUCAUGCCGUUGGUAUGUACUGAUAUUAUUGAUUUCUCACCUUCUAAAGAACCGUAAUGCCAUUAAUUUGGUGUCACGGGGAAUUAGGACUGUUACCUUGAAAAAUUGAGUGUUUAAAGCAGGCUCACGCUUGAGUACAUUAGCAUGGAAUAAUGAAAUAGGACAUCCGAUUCUAUUUUGUUGGUUUCUAGGAUCGAUGUAAUGAUUAAUAGGGAUAGUUGGGGGCAUUAGUAUUCAAUUGUCAGAGGUGAAAUUCUUGGAUUUAUUGAAGACUAACUACUGCGAAAGCAUUUGCCAAGGAUGUUUUCAUUAA
Molecule: ribosomal RNA, 402 nt
Filed under: uncultured Glomus
Lineage: Eukaryota; Fungi; Glomeromycota; Glomeromycetes; Glomerales; Glomeraceae
Description: SSU rRNA
Rfam family: Eukaryotic small subunit ribosomal RNA
Source: RNAcentral